Piliocolobus tephrosceles (Ugandan red Colobus) is the source of this 1592-nucleotide long non-coding RNA. Lineage: Eukaryota; Metazoa; Chordata; Mammalia; Primates; Cercopithecidae. The record is from Ensembl.
AAUAUUCGGGGCAUAAAUAGCAAUGAAUACAUAACCAAUAUUCAGGGCAUAAAUAGCAAUGAGGAUAUAAUUAAUAUUCAAGCUACGAAUGAUACGAUUUGUGCAAAAAAAACAGAAGAAACUUCCAAUUAUAUAAAAACUAUUUACCUUGAUACCACUUAUGCAUUGCAUAAAAAUAACAUAUUUGGUCCACAAUUUUAUAUAAUUAAUUUUGUUAUUUAUUUGUGUAAAGACAAAUUAAAAAAAAAUGCUGAUAUGAUAAACACAUCGAAUAAAAAUAGUUUUAAAAGUCGAGCAACUAAAAAAGUUAAAAAAGAAGAAAAAAUUACAUUAACAAAAGGUGAUGGUAGUAGUGGCGGUAAUAAUAAUGGUAGUAAUGGUGGGACAGAAAAGAAAAUAAUAAAAAUAAUCGAAUUUAUUACCACUGAAGAUAAUGCAAAAAGUUUUGCAAAUUGUAAAGACAAUAUUCGCACAAUAAAAAUGGAAAAUGUUAACAAAAGUUCUGAAAUUAAAAAAAAGCCAAUUUUACUACACAAUUCAUCCUUAACUGCACCAUCCACUGAUUUAGUUCCGGUAGAACGAAUAAAAAAAACAUUAUUUAUGUUCGGUACAUACAAUUUAGGAAAAGAGAAAUUAUAUUUAAGUGUGUCUGAAGCGUGUGAUAUGAAGAUAUAUUUUAAAAGUACUAAAAAAAAAGAUAUGUUAAUGUCAUAUUUAUGUAAUAAAAAUAUUUUAAAUAGAAUAACUGAUAAUAAAUUAGAAGCACAGAUACAUAUUGUUGAUAUAAACUAUUCAAGCAUAUUUCCUAAAAUAGAAAAAGAAAAGUUCCUUAAUUUGAUAGAUGAAGAAAUAGAAAAAGAAUUUGACGAUUUUUUUUAUUUUAUUCCUACAGGAUGGAUAAAAAAAUAUGCAAUGUAUGAACACAAUGACAUUACUGUUUGUUUAAUACCUUAUAGUGAACAUUCUAAUUUAAACGAACUAAAAUUGUUUAUAAAAAAUACCAAACCAUGUAAUAUUGUUCCAACUGUUUUUGAUAAUAUAAAAAAAAAAAAAGAGAUUCUAAAUAUAUUCCAUCCUUAUCUGAAUUUAAAAAUGGAAACGAUUCAAUUCUUUAAAAAAAAAAAAAAAAACUCUCUAGAAAUAAAAAAUAGAAAAGUAACAAAGGAAUUAGCGCCUUUAAAAGUAGCGGCACAUCCAAAGAAAAAAAAAAAAAAAAAAAAAAAAAAAAAAAGAACAAGAAAAAAAAAAAAAAACAAGGAAAAAAAGAAAAAUGUAAAAAACAAAAAAAGUAACAAGAAGAGUAGCAAAAAAGACGAAAAUAAGAAUGAAGAUUCAUCUAAGGAAGAUAUUAAUACACUGGAAUCUUUUAUAGACGGAAAAGAAAAACAUAUUAAAAAUGAUGUAGAUAAAAAAAUAACUGAUAAAACUUUAUUACCUGAAAAUGUAAUAUUGGACAAAUCGAUGGAAAAAAAAAGUUUAAAAAAAAAAAAAUAAAGAAAACUUCCGAUACGGAUGUUGAUGAUUGUGCAGGUGACAUUAAUCAAAAGAUGGAGUGUUUAGAUAAUAAAAAAAAAGUAAAGAAGAUGACCCCA